RNAcentral lists this ribosomal RNA (824 nucleotides) under uncultured Actinomycetes bacterium. RNAcentral's name for it is "bacterial SSU rRNA". It matches the Rfam family "Bacterial small subunit ribosomal RNA", at positions 70 to 902 of the family's 1533-position model. Lineage: Bacteria; Bacillati; Actinomycetota; Actinomycetes. The record is from RNAcentral.
AUCCAUUCAGUAGCAAUACUGAUGAAGAUCUAGUGGCGAACGGGUGCGUAACACGUGAGGAACUUGUCCCGGUCUCUGGGAUAACAGUUGGAAACGACUGCUAAUACCGGAUGACGUCGGAACUUCGCAUGGAGUACUGACGAAAGGGUUACUGGAUCGGGAGAGCCUCGCGGCCUAUCAGCUUGUUGGUGGGGUAACGGCCUACCAAGGCAUCGACGGGUAGCUGGUCUGAGAGGAUGAUCAGCCACACUGGGACUGAGACACGGCCCAGACUCCUACGGGAGGCAGCAGUGGGGAAUCUUGCACAAUGGGCGAAAGCCUGAUGCAGCAACGCCGCGUGCGGGAAGAAGGCCCUCGGGUUGUAAACCGCUUUCAGAAGGAACGAAACUGACGGUACUUUCAGAAGAAGGUGCGGCCAACUACGUGCCAGCAGCCGCGGUGACACGUAGGCACCAAGCGUUGUCCGGAUUUAUUGGGCGUAAAGAGCUCGUAGGCGGUUCAGUAAGUCGGGUGUGAAAACUUUGGGCUUAACCCAAAGCGUGCAUCCGAUACUGCUGUGACUUGAGUUCGGUAGGGGAGUGGGGAAUUCCUAGUGUAGCGGUGAAAUGCGCAGAUAUUAGGAGGAACACCGGUGGCGAAGGCGCCACUCUGGGCCGAAACUGACGCUGAGGAGCGAAAGCAUGGGUAGCAAACAGGAUUAGAUACCCUGGUAGUCCAUGCCGUAAACGUUGGGCACUAGGUGUGGGUUCCAACCAACGGAAUCCGCGCCGUCGCUAACGCAUUAAGUGCCCCGCCUGGGGAGUACGGCCGCAAGGUUAAAACUC